CAGGGGAGAUCAGAGUCACCAGGCUCCCUCGCCCCAGCUGGCUCCAGGAGCCCCAUGGCCACAGCAGCCUCGGAAGCCACAGCCCAGGGUGGAAGGAAAGAAGCUCCAAUGUGACAUCAUAGAGGUUGAGGAGAAUGGAGGCUAGGGGCUCUUCAGCAGAACUGUCUGCAGCCAGUGACCAGAACUUCCAACAGCAACCCCCUCCCCAUCCCCCCGCCUCCACACACACACACACUUGUGCCAGGGACUGAGCGGUCCUGCCCUAUGAGGUUGGCUUUGAGACUACAUGAGAUUAGAGAGACACAUGGGGAGAAGGGCUGGCUUCAUGACACAAGUCUGGUCAAUGAGACAAAGGGGAUGUCUGCUGAGGAUUCUCAGAAAAGGCCUUGUCCUCUUCUUCUGGUCUUGAACCUAGAUAUGCUGGCUGAAGGUUAAUUACCAGUCAAGUCUUCAUGGAAUAAUUAUGGGGACCCAUCACUUAUAUACCUCACCCCAGUAGAGAUUCCAUUCUCCUCCAUUCUGAUAACGUUAGCUCCUGGAACAAGUUAAUGUGCCUUGUCGUCAACAUAUGGUUUCUCUGCUCCUUUCCGUUUUGUGUGAAGCUGCAGACCAGAGAUGGGGUCUUCUGGAAGAAACAUCGAAGGACAUAAAGGGAUACAGGGAAUAGACACACGAUUACAGACUUCCGUAGAAUAAGCUGAUGUGACCACAGAGCAGACACCUCACUGCCGGUCAAUCCCUGGAUUCCAUCCUCCAAAAACCUCCUUCUCCCCCAGUGCUGUUCAUCCCAGUCAUCAGGACCAUCAUUCACCCCUAUUGUUCAGAUCAAACCCGUGGAGUCGCCUGACUCCUGUCCUUAUCUCAUCCAAUCCACCAGCUCUGCCAUCAAAAUAGAAUCUCUCAAGUCCAAGCCAUCACCCUCUCUUGCCUGGAUAUUCCGAUAACCUUCUAACUGCCCCGUGCCUCCUCUGUCCUUGGCCUUUAAUGGACUCUGUUCCAAAUAGCAGCCAGUGCUCCUUUUAGAACUUAGCUCAUGGCCUCUGGUUGGAACCUUCCAACUGCUUCAUAGGUCGCUCAGAGUACAAUCCAAAAUCCUUACCGUGGCCUUCAAGGCCCUCCCUGACCUGGCUCCUCUAACUUUCCGUCCUCAUUUCCUAACACUCAGCCCCUUGCUCACUCCACAUCAGCCAGGCACACUAGCCUCCUUGCUGUUCCUCAGACACACCUGGCAUUCUCCAGUCCUGGGUCCUCUGCACUUGCUCUCCCGUUUCCCUGGAAUUCUUUGCCACAAACGUGGUAAGUGAAGAUCUCGCUUCCUCUGUUCUUUUGCUCAAGUGGUGACUCUGCCUGCAUCUCCGGCUGUUUCCUCAGUGUACACUCCUCACAGGUGCACUUUGGGUCAACAGAUAUGAAUAUUUAAAACACCCUUGGCAUA
Molecule: long non-coding RNA, 1435 nt
Filed under: Felis catus (domestic cat)
Lineage: Eukaryota; Metazoa; Chordata; Mammalia; Carnivora; Felidae
Description: lncRNA (ENSFCAG00000047981.1)
Source: RNAcentral